UGAUUAGCAUACCUUGGUGCAUUGA
This 25-nucleotide unclassified non-coding RNA is filed under the name Mus musculus (house mouse). Its description in RNAcentral is "oocyte_clustered_small_RNA4994". The record is from RNAcentral. Lineage: Eukaryota; Metazoa; Chordata; Mammalia; Rodentia; Muridae.